This 221-nucleotide unclassified non-coding RNA is filed under the name Hevea brasiliensis (rubber tree). The record is from RNAcentral. Lineage: Eukaryota; Viridiplantae; Streptophyta; Magnoliopsida; Malpighiales; Euphorbiaceae.
GAGAAUUGUUAACGCCACAAUAUGUCAAUAGCCUGUCUCACCAGUCAAUUCAUAACACCGUCUACUAGUUACAAAAACAAACUUCAUUAAAAUUUAAAACAAAAGCAGACUAAAAAAGGAAAAAUCCAUUGCGGCUACAAGGACCCAUAAUCAUACACAUCAAGUCAAUUUGAUUUUGACCAUUUAACAAAAGAAGCACAAUCACUCAUAACUUCAGACUA